This 697-nucleotide ribosomal RNA is filed under the name uncultured bacterium. Its description in RNAcentral is "bacterial SSU rRNA". It matches the Rfam family "Bacterial small subunit ribosomal RNA", at positions 32 to 715 of the family's 1533-position model. The record is from RNAcentral.
AACGCUAGCUACAGGCUUAACACAUGCAAGUCGAGGGGAAACGAUAUUGGAAGCUUGCUUCCGAUAGGCGUCGACCGGCGCACGGGUGAGUAACACGUAUCCAACCUUCCGUUGACUUGGGGAUAGCCUUUCGAAAGAAAGAUUAAUACCCGAUAAUAUAAGCUAACCUCCUGGUUUACUUAUUAAAGAAUUUCGGUUAUCGAUGGGGAUGCGUUCCAUUAGGCAGUUGGCGGGGUAACGGCCCACCAAACCUUCGAUGGAUAGGGGUUCUGAGAGGAAGGUCCCCCACACUGGAACUGAGACACGGUCCAGACUCCUACGGGAGGCAGCAGUGAGGAAUAUUGGUCAAUGGACGCAAGUCUGAACCAGCCAAGUAGCGUGAAGGAUGACUGCCCUAUGGGUUGUAAACUUCUUUUAUAUGGGAAUAAAACACUCCACGUGUGGAGCUUUGUAUGUACCAUUAUGAAUAAGCAUCGGCUAACUCCGUGCCAGCAGCCGCGGUAAUACGGAGGAUGCGAGCGUUAUCCGGAUUUAUUGGGUUUAAAGGGAGCGUAGGUGGAUUGAUAAGUCAGCCUGUGAAAGUUUGCGGCUCAACCGUAAAAUUGCAGUUGAUACUGUCAGUCUUGAGUACAGUAGAGGUUAGCGGAAUUCGUGGUGUAGCGGUGAAAUGCUUAGAUAUCACGAAGAACUCCGAUUG